RNAcentral lists this ribosomal RNA (388 nucleotides) under uncultured bacterium. RNAcentral's name for it is "bacterial SSU rRNA". It matches the Rfam family "Bacterial small subunit ribosomal RNA", at positions 28 to 417 of the family's 1533-position model. The record is from RNAcentral.
GACGAACGCUGGCGGCGUGCUUAACACAUGCAAGUCGAGCGGUAAGGCCCUUUCGGGGGUACACGAGCGGCGAACGGGUGAGUAACACGUGGGUGACCUGCCCUCAGCUCUGGGAUAAGCCUGGGAAACCGGGUCUAAUACCGGAUAUGACUCCAUGACGCAUGUUGUGGGGUGGAAAGCCUUGUGCGGCUGAGGAUGGGCCCGCGGCCUAUCAGCUUGUUGGUGGGGUGAUGGCCUACCAAGGCGACGACGGGUAGCCGGCCUGAGAGGGCGACCGGCCACACUGGGACUGAGACACGGCCCAGACUCCUACGGGAGGCAGCAGUGGGGAAUCUUGCGCAAUGGGCGAAAGUCUGACGCAGCGACGCCGCGUGAGGGAUGACGGCCU